GAGCCCUACGUAGUGAAAAAGUAGGCUAUGGCGCUCGAAUGCUCCGUGUUCGCUUCUCACUCCUCCAUGAAGUCCGGCUUGCGCUCCCUGGCUGUGCGAUCCUCUCACACCGCGGUCUCGACGACAGCGUCGCAGACUUCGCACACAGCGAUUCGGACGCCACACAGCGGGUACCAUUUCGAUGGAUCCAGCCGGCGCUUCAUGGAGGGAUGGUACUUCAAGGUCGCACUUCCUGACGAGAAGCAAAGCUUUGCAUGGAUGUAUUCCAUUGAGGAUCCUGCAUUCUCGGAAAGCCCGAGUGGGAUCAAGGAACUCGUCAAGGGGCCGAGGUUUCCCGGCAUGGGAGCUCAAGUUCUUGGACCGAACGACGAGUAUUUGUUUCAGUUCCAAGACACUACUAGAAAGUUCUGGGCAAGUCGAACCGAGCUGGCUUUGGGUGGUACGUUCGCGUCUAAGAAAGGGAGCUCGCCACCAAGAUCACUGCUCCCAUCCCAAGAGUUUGAUUCACGCGUAGAAGAAGGAUUUCAAGUGGACGCAUUCUGGCACCAAGGAUUUCUCCGUGACAAUGGGAGGUCGCCAAAGCUAAACACCGUGGACAGUGUGAGAUGGGAGUAUAGCACACGGCCAUUGUACGGCUGGGGAAACUCUGGUUCUGGACAAAAAGCAACAGCGGGGUGGCUGGCUGCUUUUCCGGUUUUCGAGCCCCACUGGCAAAUCUGCAUGGCGCACGGACUUUCAACAGGCUGGAUACAGUGGGGCGAGAAACGCUACGAGUUCGAGGACGUUCCUUCGUACGUUGAAAAAAACUGGGGCGGAACUUUCCCGGAGAAAUGGUUCUGGGUCCAAUGCAAUGUUUUCCAAGGCUCUUCCGGAGACGUAGCACUGACUUCCGGAGGAGGAAAGCGCGGUCUACCAUUUCCUCCUGGAAGCUUUGAAGAAGUCGCCAUGGUAGGUGUGCACCACGCUGGAAAAUUCUACGAGUUCGUUCCAUGGGCAGGCGAAGUGGAAUGGGAGAUAACUCCUUGGGGCAGCUGGAAGAUCGCAGCAAGCACCAUAGAAUAUGAGGUGUUGCUAGAAGCAACAACAGAUACACCAGGGACAGUGCUCCGUGCUCCAACUAGAGAUGGUCUGGUUCCAAUUUGUCAGGACACUUUUGAUGGAAAGCUGAAGCUUCAGAUCUGGGAACGCAGUGUCAACGGCGUCAGAGGAAAGCUGGUGUUGGAUGUCACGAGUGAAAUGGCAGCACUCGAGGUUGGCGGCGGACCGUGGUACACAACCUGGAAGAAAAAGAGUAGAAUGGCGGAACCGCUGAGAUCCUUGGUAGGCUUGCAGCUGGACCUGGAGAGCGUUUUCUCAAGCGUUCCCGCACUAAAACCACCCGGACUGUGAAACCAAUCUUGUCGAUGAAAAGAAAACAAACACACAGGAUUUGCAUGCAGGGCUCAAUCAAACGCGUGGCGGAAUCCGGAUGCUAUUUCAGCUGGUCCGGACGAGAGCGCAGACAAAGAGAAACGCAGAAGCAGGAUCAUGGGCGCCUCGCAGUCUCAGCAGCUAGAGCAGCAGCCGAGCGGCGGCGUGGUCUUUCCCGGCGAAGAAGAAGAGAGGGGCUUCUAUGGACAGCCAGCUUCGACCAUGGAACCGGCACCGCCACCUCCAGCCAGCAGCUACACCCUCUUCAUGAACGCCUUGACAGCCUUCGUGCCGGAGGAGCACGUAGGCCGGCUGGUGAUGUACAUGGCAAUCUUCGGUGUCCUCUUCGCGGUGAUCGGCUUGAUCGGCCUCGUCUUCCCGUUCGUUUUCGCUAUAGCGGUGGAGCAAGUGAUGGGAGCUGUGAUGGUGCUGGGUGGGAUCUUCUCCGCGGUGCAAUUCGGGGUCAUGUACGACAUACCCGGGAACAGCUCGUUUCUUCUCAUGGGAUUCCUGCAUUUGGGAUUCGGGCUGUGGAUGCUGCUCCAACCGGUUGAAGCCGGAGUCAUGCUCAUGUUCGUGCUCUCUGGAUGGCUCCUGGGACAUGUAAGUUAUCUUCUUUGUAUUGAUCAACUUUGCUUGUGUGUUUUCUUGUUUUCAGGGGCUGCUCAAGACCUUCAUGGCUUGUCAAGUUCGUAACUUGUCGUCGUGGCCGUUUGUGUUCGUGAGUGGAAUUCUUUCGAUACUGCUGGCGCUGCUUAUCCUCGUCCUGGCUCCCAAGUACGGUGUGGUUCUUUUGGGAAUUACUUUUGGCGCAGACAUGUUUGUCUCGGGGCUGUCGAUGAUUUUAAUUGCCGCAACCACUUACUUCUCCCGGAGAAGUCGUCCUCGGAUCGACACUGAGCCUCUGCUUCCACCUGCGACAGCUCCUCCUGCGUAGCUACGUGUUUCUAUUCCUUUUUUUUUUGUGAUGUGAUCCUUUGAAUACAAUUCCGUUAUCAUUUCA
Molecule: RNA transcript, 2413 nt
Organism: Selaginella moellendorffii
Lineage: Eukaryota; Viridiplantae; Streptophyta; Lycopodiopsida; Selaginellales; Selaginellaceae
Gene name: probable tocopherol cyclase, chloroplastic
Exons: 12
Source: RefSeq, a predicted model, not a curated record